GGAGCUUUCGUGUGUGAACUUGGAAUCUUCUAUAUGGGAAAUUGAAUUGGUACACAACGACCUCCUCCUCCGAAAUGAAAAUCUCAUCACAAAUACAGUAGCAGAAACACCUAGCAAUAUGGAUAUACUCACAUAAUUCAUUAAAUAACCUUGAAUACCAAUAUCUUCAAAUUCCUUGGCAGCUGAGAAGACCACCAGGCUGUACAGCUCCCUAAUUAGUGUGAUGGCGUUGCCUCAUUUUUUGUUCUGCAACAUGGCUGUGAUUUGGAGCUUGUCAGCUGAGACUGCUCCAUGGCACUGUUGCUCUUUAGUCGGGCUGAGCAAUCAACUUGACAGGGAGCACGUAUUUUACCUAUUUCCCUUGAGCUGAAACUUCAGUACGUGACAGAACUUGGCUGUGUGAUUUUUCUGGAAUUCACAGCCUCUAGAUUUGGGUAAGAUUGGAAAAAGAAUGCAGAGGAAGGGGAUUAUCUUGAAGAGCAAGUCUUCAAGCAGUACUCAGGGAGAAGGCAAUGAUUGUUGCUCUUUUGAGAUUUGGUCCUAAAUAUUGCUAAUAUGCUUUGAGCUAACUGUUUCAAACCUCCCAUCCAAGCCAGAAGUGCAAGAAUUUCUGAGUUUUCUUCUGGGUUCUUCUUUUGUAGUAUCUGUAGCUACAGAAAAAUAAAUCUUUGUGAGAAAAGCUUGUGCCCCAGGAAUCUGUCAUGUCUCAGUCUGUAAACCUCACUCAGCCUUCUCUGUCUUGCAGAAAAUAAUACAUUGCGGUGGCUCAGGUGUACUACCUUGGUCCAAAUAUCUGUGUAUUCUGUAGUAAAUGUGAGAAUGCUGGCAAUAAAGCGUGGCCUUUAUGCAGUCUUAGGGACCAGUUUUGGCCUUAGAUACUUCAUUUUACCCGCCUAUCUGGUUUAUUUGGAAGCUGGAUGAACAUGCAUAAAAUUGUACCAACUGGUCCGUAUUCUUCAAACUUACUAAAUCAAACUUCUGUAUGUGCACUUGUGAGCUUCUUUCA
Tympanuchus pallidicinctus (lesser prairie-chicken) is the source of this 1006-nucleotide long non-coding RNA. RefSeq lists it as uncharacterized. The record is from RefSeq and is a predicted model, not a curated record. The transcript is spliced from 5 exons. Lineage: Eukaryota; Metazoa; Chordata; Aves; Galliformes; Phasianidae.